UCCUCAUAUUUUGCUGCACAAAAAUUCAAAUUUUCAUACAAAAAAAUACAGUAUCCUUGUAAACAACUUUUCCACAGCGAAACAAUAAAAAAUUGGCAAACUUGGAUUUUGCAUUGAUUACCUAUAUGGGAAUAUCACUUUAUAUACAGACUAUCAUACUGCAUCAUAUUUUUAAAUAUGUACUGCUAACAAGCUUUAAAUACACAGCUAGAUCUUCAGCAACAAUAGUAAACAAGUUGCAUGCAUUGUCAUGCUUAAUGGAUGGCUCCAUUUGUUAUUCAAAGUAUCAGAACACUUGAAAAAGAUGUCAGACAAAAAGCUCUGACAAAUUAUACUGUAUUACUGUCAAGCUGCUGACCACACAUGAAUUCAUUCUGUUCAGUGGUUUCAGAGAAAAAAGUUAGGAAAAUGUUCAUUCAAACUCAAUAUAUAGGCAUUCCAGCUUAAAUUGCUUAAGUUCAAAAAGAAAUAGCAAAAAGGUGUUAUUCAUUAGUUAUCUGCAUUAAAUGCAAAAUGACUUUCAUUACCCAAAUUUUGAAUAAUUUUAAGAUGCAUCCACUUUCCAUUUUUGUUUCAUUUUUUUUUAGUUGCAUGCAGAUCUAGAAAAGUGAAAAACAACCAUAGUGACACAACAUAUACAGUUUUACCUUUUUAGGUCAGAGUUAUGGCACUUUGUCUGAUUGUAUUGUUCACACAUUGUGGUCAAUAUAAUGGAAUUUUAUGUAUCAGUCAUACAAGAGAGAGGUUUAGCUUACUAAUAAACUAUGUUUAAUAUAUCAUUUUCUACAAAAAGAAAUGCUUUUUACCAAGUCAGGAAUAUGACAGUUGUUUUCCAUUUUUUUAAUGUAUUUGUGCUUUCGAUUUGCCAUUUGUUGAGGGAAGGCAAUUCAAAAUUGCAUAUCCAUCAUAAGAAGCAAUGCAUUUUUACUGUACAAAAAUAGUGUUCGACACCGGCCUAUACUUGUGAUUUGAAAAUAACUUCCCUGGGUCCAUGUACCUUUUAAUGAUACAAGCCUCACAGUGUAUGCACAAUCAUAUUACCAAUAAAGCCAAAUAUAGAAGUUAAUGGAACAAAAAAUUACCCACAUAAAAUUUAUCUUAAUUUUUUAAAGAUACACGAUUAAACAACCAUUACAUUUUAUUUUACCAUUUGGUUUAUUUUCUUUACAACCUUAAGUAAGAAUUUGUGGUAAUG
RNAcentral lists this long non-coding RNA (1195 nucleotides) under Mytilus galloprovincialis (Mediterranean mussel). The record is from RNAcentral. Lineage: Eukaryota; Metazoa; Mollusca; Bivalvia; Mytilida; Mytilidae.